Long non-coding RNA from Tachysurus vachellii, 1590 nucleotides. RefSeq lists it as uncharacterized. The transcript has 3 exons. NCBI's taxonomy places the organism in Eukaryota, Metazoa, Chordata, Actinopteri, Siluriformes, Bagridae. The record is from RefSeq and is a predicted model, not a curated record.
CUUCAGUGGUACCCAGGACAACCCAAUAAUUACUGGGGUAAUGAGAACUGUGCACCAGUCUUUAAAGGGCUGUUCAUCGAUGAACAGUGCACCAACAUGCGCUAUUUCUUCUGUCACACCAUUUCCCCGGUGAAGAAACAGACAGUGAGACUGCAGCUGAAGUCUGACAGAAGUGUGUUCGAUCCUGUUGUACAGUCCUUUAUUUUAGAGCAGAUGAAGCAGAAACUGGAAGAACAUUUUAUGAUGGAAAACAUCACAGUGACCUGGAGGGUCCAGCCUGAUGGAAACAUCUUCCACAAGAAAAACAAAGAACCUGAAUUGAUCAAAAGCAAGUGAAGGGUGCUAAGUGAAAUAUUUAGUUUAGUAUUGGCAGAUAAUAAUUUUCAUAUAGGAUAUAUAAAAUGUGAUAGAACCCAUGUGAUGCGAUAGGAAUAGAAUCUAUGUUCGGAUUUUACUUGGAAACAAACACAGGGAAAACAAUCCAAAACAGUAGGCAACAGAGUCGUAACCCAGGCGGUCGCAUUUUCUCUCCCUCUCCUCCCCUCUACUUUCCCUGCUUUGCUUCUUUCGUCUCGUCUAUUGUCUUAUACUUUGAGAGACUCUCUCCGCACUGCUCUCCAAACUAAAAUAUCAUGGAUCUGAUAAACUGGUCUCUCAACGCAAUUGACACCAUCUUCUCGACGAGAAGCUUGGGUUCGGGGGGAACCUGACUGCCCUGCCGGAACGUUCGCAGCUGGCUAUACGAUGGAUGCGUGGGAGAGGUGGCGGGUCGUGUGUCUGGUGCCUCUUUCCGUGGAGGACGUUGAAGAUAUCUACCUAUUUGGAACCAUGAUAACAGGAGUUCUGCUGAUUGGAUUAGGCAUUGCCCUGGGUUAUCGAGAGAAUCAGAAAACGGUAACAGCUGUUCAAAAUCUCCCAAAGCUGCCCGUUAUGAUCGACGCAGUGGGCAGAGCGGUCAGCACUGAGGCUGGGACUAAUAACCACAAUAUGGAUAACAUCACGAUGAAACUCACUGCUUUGGAUACUGUUUUGGUUAACAUCACUGCUUUGGAAAGAAAAAUGGAUCGAUAUGGAGACCAGAAUGGACUAAGAGAGUAGUCGUGUAAAUUGGAAUGCGUCUACUCGCCCCAAGACCAAACAAUCCUAAUCUUAUCUGCUUUCGGCUCCCCCUCAACCAGCACUGGCCUCGGCCAAGGCCGCUGUUGGAACAACAAUUCCCCUGGAAGAGCACUGCAGCGAGACGCUCUUGCGUUCCUUCCCCCACUUCUACAGACACCUGCUGAUUGUUGACUCUCUUUGGGACCUAAUCAAGGUUGUCUCCAUGGUAAUUUGCUGUGUAUCGCUAUGACAAUCUUGCGGACUGAGGCACCAAGAUUUUGAUGCCGGGAGCAACGACUCUCCAGGCCUACACUUACAUACAGUACAUACACACACACACACAUAAAGAUAUGCACUCACCCCCCACCCCCCAUCCCACGCCUUCGCCGCUUUGUACCGCCAGUCUGACAAGCGGGUCUGUGACCAGCGCCGAAGAUAAAGGCCGCAGGACCUGAUGGCUGCUUGCCUGUGCUGGAUUACCUCCACCCCAAA